RNAcentral lists this ribosomal RNA (253 nucleotides) under uncultured bacterium. RNAcentral's name for it is "partial 16S ribosomal RNA". It matches the Rfam family "Bacterial small subunit ribosomal RNA", at positions 524 to 776 of the family's 1533-position model. The record is from RNAcentral.
GACGAACCGUACGAACGUUAUUCGGAAUUACUGGGCUUAAAGGGUGCGUAGGCGGCGCGGAAAGUAGGGUGUGAAAUCCCUCGGCUCAACCGAGGAACUGCGCCCUAAACUACCGUGCUCGAGGGAGGUAGAGGUGAGCGGAACUGAGGGUGGAGCGGUGAAAUGCGUUGAUAUCCUCAGGAACACCGGUGGCGAAAGCGGCUCACUGGACCUCUUCUGACGCUGAGGCACGAAAGCUAGGGUAGCGAACGGG